UACUUAGGGUGCAAGCGUUAAUCGGAAUUACUGGGCGUAAAGCGAGUGUAGGCGGCUUUGUAAGUCGGAUGUGAAAGCCCUGGGCUCAACCUGGGAAUUGCAUUCGAAACUGCAAAGCUAGAGUUUGGUAGAGGUAAGUGGAAUUCCGGGUGUAGCGGUGAAAUGCGUAGAUAUCCGGAGGAACAUCAGUGGCGAAGGCGGCUUACUGGACCAAACUGACGCUGAGGCUCGAAAGCGUGGGGAGCAAACAGGAUUAGAUACCCCGGUA
RNAcentral lists this ribosomal RNA (268 nucleotides) under uncultured prokaryote. RNAcentral's name for it is "partial 16S ribosomal RNA". It matches the Rfam family "Bacterial small subunit ribosomal RNA", at positions 524 to 792 of the family's 1533-position model. The record is from RNAcentral.